GCGGAAGUAGCUCAGUGGUAGAGCAUCGCCUUGCCAAGGCGAGGGUUGCGGGUUCCCCCCUACGGGGAUUUCGGCUGCGACUCAAGAAUCCCGUCUUCCGCUCCA
This 105-nucleotide transfer RNA is filed under the name Clostridiales bacterium PH28_bin88. RNAcentral's name for it is "tRNA-Gly". It matches the Rfam family "tRNA". Rfam says of the family: Transfer RNA (tRNA) molecules are approximately 80 nucleotides in length. Lineage: Bacteria; Bacillati; Bacillota; Clostridia; Eubacteriales. The record is from RNAcentral.